UACCAGCACCCCGAGUGGUCGGGACGUUUAUUGGGCCUAAAGCAUCCGUAGCCGGUUCUACAAGUCUUCCGUUAAAUCCACCUGCUCAACAGAUGGGCUGCGGAAGGUACUAUGGAGCUAGGAGGCGGGAGAGGCAAGCGGUACUCGAUGGGUAGGGGUAAAAUCCGUUGAUCCAUUGAAGACCACCAGUGGCGAAGGCGGCUUGCCAGAACGCGCUCGACGGUGAGGGAUGAAAGCUGGGGGAGCAAACCGG
Molecule: ribosomal RNA, 253 nt
Filed under: uncultured bacterium
Lineage: Bacteria
Description: partial 16S ribosomal RNA
Rfam family: Archaeal small subunit ribosomal RNA
Source: RNAcentral